Molecule: ribosomal RNA, 274 nt
Filed under: uncultured bacterium
Lineage: Bacteria
Description: partial 16S ribosomal RNA
Rfam family: Bacterial small subunit ribosomal RNA
Source: RNAcentral
AUACGGAGGGUGCAAGCGUUAAUCGGAAUUACUGGGCGUAAAGCGCGCGUAGGCGGAUAUUUAAGUCUCAUGUGAAAGCCCUGGGCUCAACCUGGGAACUGCAUGGGAUACUGGGUAUCUAGAAUACAGUAGAGGGUAGUGGAAUUUCAGGUGUGGCGGUGAAAUGCGUAGAGAUCUGAAGGAACAUCAGUGGCGAAGGCGACUACCUGGACUGAUAUUGACGCUGAGGUGCGGAAGCGUGGGGAGCAAACGGGAUUAGAAACCCUGGUAGUCC